GAGUGGAGGUGUUGAUUCUAGAAGACAGUUUGGAGGAGUGGAGGUGUUGAUUCUAGUAGACAGUAUAGAGGAGUGGAGGUGUUGAUUCUAGAAGACAGUUUGGAGGAGUGGAGGUGUUGAUUCUAGUAGACAGUAUAGAGGAGUGGAGGUGUUGAUUCUAGAAGACAGUUUGGAGGAGUGGAGGUGUUGAUUCUAGUAGACAGUAUGUAGGAGUGGAGGUGUUGAUUCUAGAAGAAAGUAUGGAGGAGUGAAAGAGUAGAGGUGUUUAUUCUAAUAGACAGUACGGAGUAGUGGGAGAGUGGAGGUGUUGAUUCUAGAAGACAGUAGGGAGGAGUGGAGGUGUUGAUUCUAGAAGACAGUAUGGAGGAGUGGAUGUGUUGAUUCUAGUAGACAGUAUGGAGGAGUGGAGGUGUUGAUUCUAGUAGACAGUAUGGAGGAAUGAAAGAGUGGAGGUGUUGAUUCUAAUAGACAGUACGGAGGAGUGGAGGUGUUGAUUCUAAUAGACAGUAUAGAGGAGUGGAGGUGUUGAUUCUAGAAGACAGUGUGGAGGAGUGAAAGAGUGGAGGUGUUGAUUUUAGUAGACAGUAUGGAGGAGUGGAGGUGUUGAUUCUCAUAGACAGUAUAGAGGAGUGGGCGUGUUGAUUC
This 645-nucleotide long non-coding RNA is filed under the name Salmo salar (Atlantic salmon). Its description in RNAcentral is "lncRNA (ENSSSAG00000093959.1)". The record is from RNAcentral. Lineage: Eukaryota; Metazoa; Chordata; Actinopteri; Salmoniformes; Salmonidae.